RNAcentral lists this ribosomal RNA (491 nucleotides) under uncultured bacterium. Its description in RNAcentral is "partial 16S ribosomal RNA". It matches the Rfam family "Bacterial small subunit ribosomal RNA", at positions 29 to 507 of the family's 1533-position model. The record is from RNAcentral.
GUGAACGCUGGCGGUAGGCCUAACACAUGCAAGUCGCACGGCAGCACAGUAAGAGCUUGCUCUUACGGGUGGCGAGUGGCGGACGGGUGAGGAAUACAUCGGAAUCUACUUUUUCGUGGGGGAUAAUGUAGGGAAACUUACGCUAAUACCGCAUACGACCUACGGGUGAAAGCAGGGGAUCUUCGGACCUUGCGCGAUUGAAUGAGCCGAUGUCGGAUUAGCUAGUUGGCGGGGUAAAGGCCCACCAAGGCGACGAUCCGUAGCUGGUCUGAGAGGAUGAUCAGCCACACUGGAACUGAGACACGGUCCAGACUCCUACGGGAGGCGGCAGUGGGGAAUAUUGGACAAUGGGCGCAAGCCUGAUCCAGCCAUACCGCGUGGGUGAAGAAGGCCUUCGGGUUGUAAAGCCCUUUUGUUGGGAAAGAAAAGCAGCAGGUUAAUACCCCGCUGUUCUGACGGUACCCAAAGAAUAAGCACCGGCUAACUUCGUG